GAUUAUAUAGUUUAAAAUAAAACAUUAAUUUUGUAAAUUAAUAUUAAAAUAUAAUUUUUAUAAUCA
Molecule: transfer RNA, 66 nt
Filed under: Cerceris quinquefasciata
Lineage: Eukaryota; Metazoa; Arthropoda; Insecta; Hymenoptera; Crabronidae
Description: tRNA-Thr
Source: RNAcentral